RNAcentral lists this ribosomal RNA (253 nucleotides) under uncultured bacterium. Its description in RNAcentral is "partial 16S ribosomal RNA". It matches the Rfam family "Bacterial small subunit ribosomal RNA", at positions 524 to 776 of the family's 1533-position model. The record is from RNAcentral.
UACGAAGGGGGCUAGCGUUGCUCGGAAUCACUGGGCGUAGAGCGCACGUAGGCGGCUUUUUAAGUCAGGGGUGAAAUCCUGGAGCUCAACUCCAGAACUGCCUUUGAUACUGAGAAGCUUGAGUCCGGGAGAGGUGAGUGGAACUGCGAGUGUAGAGGUGAAAUUCGUAGAUAUUCGCAAGAACACCAGUGGCGAAGGCGGCUCACUGGCCCGGUACUGACGCUGAGGUGCGAAAGCGUGGGGAGCAAACAGG